GUUAAGUUAGUUUAUAAAAAUACCAGUUUGUGGACCUGGAGAUAAGAUUGUUGGCUCUUACUUAACC
RNAcentral lists this transfer RNA (67 nucleotides) under Alviniconcha marisindica. RNAcentral's name for it is "tRNA-His". Lineage: Eukaryota; Metazoa; Mollusca; Gastropoda; Provannidae. The record is from RNAcentral.